GGAGCUGAAAUCAGUCGAAGAUACCAGCUGGCUGCAACUGUUUAUUAAAAACACAGCACUGUGCAAACACGAAAGUGGACGUAUACGGUGUGACGCCUGCCCGGUGCCGGAAGGUUAAUUGAUGGGGUUAUCCUCACGGAGAAGCUCUUGAUCGAAGCCCCGGUAAACGGCGGCCGUAACUAUAACGGUCCUAAGGUAGCGAAAUUCCUUGUCGGGUAAGUUCCGACCUGCACGAAUGGCGUAAUGAUGGCCAGGCUGUCUCCACCCGAGACUCAGUGAAAUUGAACUCGCUGUGAAGAUGCAGUGUACCCGCGGCAAGACGGAAAGACCCCGUGAACCUUUACUAUAGCUUGACACUGAACACUGGUCCUUGAUGUGUAGGAUAGGUGGGAGGCUUUGAAGUGUGGACGCCAGUCUGCAUGGAGCCGUCCUUGAAAUACCACCCUUUAAUGGCUGGUGUUCUAACGUGGGCCCGUGAUCCGGGUUGCGGACAGUGUCUGGUGGGUAGUUUGACUGGGGCGGUCUCCUCCUAAAGAGUAACGGAGGAGCACGAAGGUCAGCUAAUCCUGGUCGGACAUCAGGAGGUUAGUGCAAUGGCAUAAGCUGGCUUGACUGCGAGCGUGACGGCGCGAGCAGGUGCGAAAGCAGGUCAUAGUGAUCCGGUGGUUCUGAAUGGAAGGGCCAUCGCUCAACGGAUAAAAGGUACUCCGGGGAUAACAGGCUGAUACCGCCCAAGAGUUCAUAUCGACGGCGGUGUUUGGCACCUCGAUGUCGGCUCAUCACAUCCUGGGGCUGAAGUAGGUCCCAAGGGUAUGGCUGUUCGCCAUUUAAAGUGGUACGCGAGCUGGGUUUAGAACGUCGUGAGACAGUUCGGUCCCUAUCUGCCGUGGGCGCUGGAGAAUUGAGGGGGGCUGCUCCUAGUACGAGAGGACCGGAGUGGACGCAUCACUGGUGUUCGGGUUGUCAUGCCAAUGGCAUUGCCCGGUAGCUAAAUGCGGAAGAGAUAAGUGCUGAAAGCAUCUAAGCACGAAACUUGCCCCGAGAUGAGUUCUCCCUGAC
This 1059-nucleotide ribosomal RNA is filed under the name Klebsiella oxytoca. RNAcentral describes it as "partial 23S ribosomal RNA". It matches the Rfam family "Bacterial large subunit ribosomal RNA", at positions 1747 to 2819 of the family's 2925-position model. The record is from RNAcentral. Lineage: Bacteria; Pseudomonadati; Pseudomonadota; Gammaproteobacteria; Enterobacterales; Enterobacteriaceae.